CUGCUGCCUCCCGUAGGAGUUUGGGCCGUGUCUCAGUCCCAAUGUGGCCGGUCACCCUCUCAGGUCGGCUACUGAUCGUCGCCUUGGUGAGCCGCUACCUCUCCAACUAGCUAAUCAGACGCGGGUCCAUCUCAUACCACCGGAGUUUUUCACACCAAACCAUGCGGUCUUGUGCGCUUAUGCGGUUUUAGCAGUCAUUUCUAACUGUUAUCCCCCUGUAUGAGGCAGGUUACCCACGCGUUACUCACCCGUCCG
This 255-nucleotide ribosomal RNA is filed under the name uncultured bacterium. RNAcentral's name for it is "partial 16S ribosomal RNA". The record is from RNAcentral.